This 419-nucleotide ribosomal RNA is filed under the name uncultured Prevotella sp. Its description in RNAcentral is "bacterial SSU rRNA". It matches the Rfam family "Bacterial small subunit ribosomal RNA", at positions 358 to 774 of the family's 1533-position model. The record is from RNAcentral. Lineage: Bacteria; Pseudomonadati; Bacteroidota; Bacteroidia; Bacteroidales; Prevotellaceae.
GGAAUAUUGGUCAAUGGGCGCGAGCCUGAACCAGCCAAGUAGCGUGCAGGACGACGGCCCUAUGGGUUGUAAACUGCUUUUAUGCGGGGAUAAAGUGCGGCACGCGUGCCGUUUUGUAGGUACCGUAUGAAUAAGGACCGGCUAAUUCCGUGCCAGCAGCCGCGGUAAUACGGAAGGUCCGGGCGUUAUCCGGAUUUAUUGGGUUUAAAGGGAGCGCAGGCUGAUUAUUAAGCGUGACGUGAAAUGUAGCCGCUCAACGGCUGAACUGCGUCGCGAACUGGUAGUCUUGGGUGAGUUCGAUGUUUGCGGAAUUCGUGGUGUAGCGGUGAGAUGCUUAGAUAUCACGAAGAACUCCGAUUGCGAAGGCAGCCAACAAGGCCUUUACUGACGCUAAAGCUCGAAGGUGCGGGUAUCGAACA